This is a long non-coding RNA of Aedes albopictus (Asian tiger mosquito), 1334 nucleotides long. RefSeq lists it as uncharacterized. Lineage: Eukaryota; Metazoa; Arthropoda; Insecta; Diptera; Culicidae. The record is from RefSeq and is a predicted model, not a curated record. The transcript has 3 exons.
GUAAAAUGUUAUGGUGAUGAAAUAUGAUCAACAUGAGGAAUCUCUCUACAACUACUGCCUCCGCAGCAUCGAGAUCAGAUGACGUCAUGAAGAUCAAGCAUCCGAAGAGCAUCGCGUACGAAGACUGGAAGGAAUAGCAUCUCUAGACGAUGUAUUAACAGAGGAACUAUGUCCGUGCUACAGACGAACCUUCCUAUAUAGAGUGACCCAGCACUCGUGUGGUCUCACUGUCUCACUUUUGGUGAGUAUAUCCAGCAAUUUGUAUUGCUUCUACCAUCUACCUAGGCCACUAGAUACACGCAAUUCAACCACAUUCACCAACACCUUUCUACUGAAAUCCCUGAGAAAGAAGAAGUGUUGACUUCUCAGUUCAUCGUAGUGUAGUCCGCUGUUGGUGUAAGCGAUGAGUUUCGUGAUCUAGUACCACCUAUCUAUGCUUCCCUGAGCACCUUUCUAUUCUUUUACUCUAAACAGAGUCUGAAAAACAUUUGGCCGUAGUGCUCGAAUUCAAAUUCGCAACACUAGGACUAUUACCACACAAAAACAAAUAAACAACCAGUCAAAAGCUGGGUUUUGGCUGGGAGAACAACAUUGUAGAAAAAUCUAGGAAUUCUUACCUAAAAGAAUUAGAUUUUCUAAAUGGUUCAGUAAUAAAAACUGUCUCCGACAUUCAAACGUUAGCUUGUAUGUGGAAACUAGACUCCUCUCUCGUGUGAAAAACUUCACUAGGCAUGUUUUUCUACAUCUCCUGUUUUGCAUCUCUUUUCGCUUCAUUUUUCUUGUUCUAAUUUCAUUCUACUCUUGCAAACUCUCAUUUAUUUCCAUUCAUGAAUUGUUUCAUUUAACUAAUCUAAACUUUUCUCUCAUUAUAGCUCAUUCAACUGAACGAUGACGACAAGAGUAAUUACCGACUCAGGACGUUUUCUGCACGCCAAUUCGCAAUGAAAUUAGAAUUGAAAAAGAACUAUUUAAGAGCUAAAAGUAUCACAGGUUAGAAUUUGAUAACCUAGUAAAUUGAAAAAUGCUAUAAACUUUGAAAACCUAGUAAAUUUAAAAAUCCUAUUUGCACACGCUUCAAAAGAAGCACACAAAAUUUGUUGUAAAUAAAAAUUAUCGUUCUUUUUGGCCUUUUCAUAUCACACACAUCCGAAAUCACAUCACAACACACUAAAAUUGUUUCAAACAAAAGUAAAAAGUUAAAAAUGACUAGUAUUGAGUUCUAAUGUUCUUUUUGAACAAUCGUUUGUUUAUGUUCAUUGUGUUUCUGGACAACAAAACCCCUCCGUCGCAAAUGAAAUGAUUUUGCGAACUGUGUUAGAAGAAAGAGUAAGUCC